Non-coding RNA from Carassius auratus (goldfish), 681 nucleotides. NCBI's taxonomy places the organism in Eukaryota, Metazoa, Chordata, Actinopteri, Cypriniformes, Cyprinidae. The record is from the annotation of a RefSeq genome assembly.
CAAGACACAACAACAACAAUGAACAACAUCAUCAUCCUCAUCUGGACUCUCACACUGUUUGCUCAAGAGAGUAGAGGACAGUACACUGUAACUCAGAGUCCAUCAAUAACAGCAGCUCAACCAGGACAAGAAGUCAGAAUAAACUGUAAAAUCAGCAGUAAUGUGCAUGGUGGUAAUUGGUUACACUGGUAUUUACAGAAACCUGGAGAAGCUCCUAAACUCCUCAUAUAUCUUGCAUCAACCCGUUUCACUGGAACUCCAUCUAGAUUCAGUGGCAGUGGAUCUAACAGUGAUUUCACUCUGACCAUCAGUGGAGUCCAGACUGAAGAUACAGGACAUUAUUACUGUCAGAGUUUUCACUACCCAAACAGUAAAGAUGUGUUCACACAGUGAUAAAGAGUCGUACAAAAACCUCCGUCAGUCAGAGUCACAGUGACUGCACUGAUACAGCUGAGAGUUACUGCAGCUGCUGAUCAGAGGAUAUGAUUAAAUAUGUUUACUGUAAUUAUUAUUUACUUACUUUUGGUUCUUUGGAGAUUCAGAAGGUUCUUCAUUUUUUAUUACAGGUUCUUCAAAUCAGUGCAUUGGUUCAGUGGAGACUGGAAAUAUGGACCAUGGUGUGGUACACUUGAGCAGUACAGUAUGUAAUAAACAGCAGUUUCAUCAUGAUACGAUAUGACA